Molecule: ribosomal RNA, 231 nt
Filed under: uncultured bacterium
Lineage: Bacteria
Description: partial 16S ribosomal RNA
Rfam family: Bacterial small subunit ribosomal RNA
Source: RNAcentral
GCAAGUCGAGCGCUUCACUUCGGUGAAGAGCGGCGAACGGGUGAGUAACACGUAGGUUACCUGCCCUCUGGUGGGGAAUAACCCAGGGAAACUUGGACUAAUACCGCAUAUGGUCUACGGAUCAAAGCCUUCGGGCGCCAGGGGAUGGGCCUGCGGCCCAUUAUUUAAUCCUUGUUGGUGGGGUAAUGGCCUACCAAGGGUACGAUGGGUAGCUGGUCUGAGAGGAUGAUC